UAAAACAUUUAGACUGUCAGAAUAAGAGGUGAGAUAUUUGAAUGCAACAAAAACCCUCAGAUCUCAUAGCUAAGUAUAAAUCAUAUGCAGCUUAUGACAAUGGCAUGAUCACAACCUUCGUGCACCAUUUCCAUAUUUAUUUAUAUAUAUAUAUAUUUUUGAAUUGAAUGAAUAAAUGAAUGGGUAGAUAGAGAAAGAGCGAGUAACCAAGAAAGAGAAAGAGAGAAAGAAUGCCAGAAGCAACGGUGCACGUCAGGCUAUAAACAAUACCAUGUAGCCACUCAAUAGUCUAUUUGUCCAUCACUGGGUAACAAAACAUAUCACACAAUUCAUUUUUCUGAAAUACAUGAGGAGCCAAAAUUGCAAAACCAAGAAAGACAUAUACAUAAUUCAUCUACAAAAAAUCAAUCAUGAACAAUUACCAUAUGCAACAGUUUAUAAACAGAUAACUACGGUAAAAACUUUCCAAACACUAAUCUUUACAAGUGCAGAUUUCAAGAGUUUAAGUGAAUUACAAACUCCAAUUAAAAUGUGGAAAAGGAAUCCAAUAAAAAAUAUCAUAAACAUGAAAACAAUAAAGUGACCGGGGUUAAAAAGAAAGAACAUUGAAUCAGAAGGAAUACAAGGCCCUCAGAUCUCAUAGCUUAAUAAAAAGUCAUGCUCAGCUUUAGUCACAGGUUUAAUUCAUAACCAUCUUGCACCUUUCAAAGUUCAAUGUCCAAAGCUAAACGACUCACAC
Molecule: long non-coding RNA, 739 nt
Filed under: Trifolium pratense (red clover)
Lineage: Eukaryota; Viridiplantae; Streptophyta; Magnoliopsida; Fabales; Fabaceae
Description: long non-coding RNA (TPRA_LNC009291)
Source: RNAcentral